This 427-nucleotide ribosomal RNA is filed under the name uncultured bacterium. RNAcentral describes it as "partial 16S ribosomal RNA". It matches the Rfam family "Bacterial small subunit ribosomal RNA", at positions 354 to 796 of the family's 1533-position model. The record is from RNAcentral.
GUGGGGAAUAUUGCGCAAUGGGGGAAACCCUGACGCAGCAAUACCGCGUGAGUGAAGAAGGUUUUCGGAUCGUAAAACUCUUUUAUUGGGGAAGAAGAAGUGACGGUACCCAAUGAAGAAGUCCCGGCUAACUACGUGCCAGCAGCCGCGGUAAUACGUAGGGGACAAGCGUUGUCCGGAAUCACUGGGCGUAAAGGGCGCGUAGGCGGGAAGGUGUGUCGACCUGUAAAUCUAUCGUUUCAAGCGGUAGGCUUGGGUUGAAACUGCCUUUCUAGAGGAUUUCAGGGGAGUUUGGAAUUUACGGUGUAGCAGUGAAAUGCGUGGAUAUCGUAAGGAAGGCUUGUGGCGAAGGCGAAACUCUGGGGAAUACCUGACGCUGAGGCGCGAAGGCUAGGUUAGCAAACGGGAUUAGAUACCCGUGUAGUCC